GACCAGACUCCUACGGGAGGCAGCAGUGGGGAAUAUUGCACAAUGGGGGGAACCCUGAUGCAGCGACGCCGCGUGGGUGAAGGAGCACCUCGGUGCGUAAAGCCCUAUCGGCAGGGAAGAAACAGACGGUACCUGACUAAGAAGCCCCGGCUAACUACGUGCCAGCAGCCGCGGGAAUACGUAGGGGGCAAGCGUUAUCCGGAUUUACUGGGUGUAAAGGGGGCGCAGACGGCAGCGCAAGCCAGGAGUGAAAGCCCGGGGCCCAACCCCGGGACUGCUCUUGGAACUGCGCGGCUGGAGUGCAGGAGGGGCAGGCGGAAUUCCUGGUGUAGCGGUGAAAUGCGUAGAUAUCAGGAGGAACACCGGUGGCGAAGGCGGCCUGCUGGACUGCGACUGACGCUGAGGCGCGAAAGCUAGGGGAGCGAACAGGAUUAGAUACCCUAG
RNAcentral lists this ribosomal RNA (444 nucleotides) under uncultured bacterium. RNAcentral's name for it is "partial 16S ribosomal RNA". It matches the Rfam family "Bacterial small subunit ribosomal RNA", at positions 329 to 790 of the family's 1533-position model. The record is from RNAcentral.